RNAcentral lists this non-coding RNA (179 nucleotides) under Pseudaestuariivita atlantica. RNAcentral describes it as "Aestuariivita atlantica Ruegeria cis52 sRNA". It matches the Rfam family "Ruegeria cis52 sRNA". From Rfam's summary of the family: Cis-encoded. Targets oligo/dipeptide ABC transporter. The record is from Rfam by way of RNAcentral. Lineage: Bacteria; Pseudomonadati; Pseudomonadota; Alphaproteobacteria; Rhodobacterales; Paracoccaceae.
UGCGCAGCGCGUGUUUCAUCACGAUGUUGCCGAAACUGACGCCCUUGAGCCGAGCGGUUCGGAUAUAUUGCGCCGUCAUGACCUCGGCCAUCGAGGCGCGGGUCAUCCGCGCGACGUAUCCCAGCCCGUAAAGGGCGAUGGUGAUGACCGGCAGGAAGAAAUUCUCGAACGUGAUGUUC